This 261-nucleotide small RNA is filed under the name Nomascus leucogenys (northern white-cheeked gibbon). RNAcentral's name for it is "Metazoan signal recognition particle RNA (ENSNLEG00000032936.1)". The record is from RNAcentral. Lineage: Eukaryota; Metazoa; Chordata; Mammalia; Primates; Hylobatidae.
GCUGGGUGUGGUGGUGUGCACCUGUAAUCCCAGCUACUCUGGAAUGCUGAGGCAGGACAAUUGCUUGAACCUGGGAGUUGGAGGUUGCAGUGAGCCGAGAUUACGCCAUUGCAUUCCAGCCUGGGUGACAAGAGUGAGACGCUGUCUUUUUUUUUUUUUUUUGAUACAGAGUCUCACACUGUCGCCAGGCUGGAGUGCAGUGGUGCAAUCUUGGCUCACAGCAACCUCCGCCUCCCAGGUUCAAGUGAUUCUCCUGCCUCA